Homo sapiens (human) is the source of this 508-nucleotide long non-coding RNA. The record is from Ensembl. NCBI's taxonomy places the organism in Eukaryota, Metazoa, Chordata, Mammalia, Primates, Hominidae.
GGGUUGCAGGUGGGCCAAAAUGCCUUGUUUUCUCUAGAUCAGAGAGAUGGCUUCUGGAUUCAUCUUUCCCUGCAAUCCAGCUUCUCCUCCUGGGGCCCUCAUACUGGAGACUGGGAUCAUCAUCCAGGCUUUUGCACUGGGCCAGGAAUUUGGGAGUCAUCCUGGAUCCGUCUGCCCCUGUCAACCUUUCGCUGUCAACGGAUAUUUAUUGGGCGUCCUCAACAGCCAGGCCCUGUUCAUGGUACUGAAGAACAGCUUGUAUAAAACAACCCUGCCCUCACAGGGCGAUCACCAGUGACCUGUGGUGUGGAGUCUCCUUUUACCUAUGUCUCCUCCUUCCCACUGUCACCAUCCUUGGUCCUCCUCUGUCACCUGGAAUACUCCACUUGGUAACCAGCAUGAUCUUAUAACGCUAGUUUUACCCUUGUCAGCACUUUGCCAAAAACCUCAAAUAAAGACUUUUUUUAAAAUGUGCAAUGGAAAAAUAAAGUUAUAAAUUAUAUCAUAA